Zingiber officinale is the source of this 4408-nucleotide RNA transcript. It is a transcript of the gene named xanthine dehydrogenase-like, with no coding region annotated. The record is from RefSeq and is a predicted model, not a curated record. NCBI's taxonomy places the organism in Eukaryota, Viridiplantae, Streptophyta, Magnoliopsida, Zingiberales, Zingiberaceae. The transcript is spliced from 15 exons.
CGUCCCAUUGACAGGCGUCGCAAUUUUGUCCGCGCCUCCUCGUCUGAGAUCCGCUCGAUUCUGCUCCCAGAAGGGCGGUGGAACGCUGGGCUGAGGCGGUUCGCUCUCGCUUGGGGUUUCCUCGGAUCUUGAAAUAGUUUUAGUACGCGAAGGUUGGAUCGAGAGUCGAAAGAUGGGCUCCCUAAUCAAGGCAGAGGAGGUGAUCGCUGAGGGAGAAUGGUCAACGGAGGCUAUCGUCUACGUCAACGGUGUCCGCAGGGUGUUGCCCGAUGGGUUAGCGCACCUCACCCUUCUUCAGUACCUAAGAGAUAUUGGUCUAACAGGAACGAAACUCGGCUGUGGUGAAGGUGGCUGUGGAGCUUGCACAGUAAUGAUUUCCUGUUUUGAUGAACGGUCAAGGAAAUCACAGCACUAUGCUAUAAAUGCAUGCUUGGCUCCGUUAUAUUCUGUUGAAGGUAUGCAUGUAAUAACAGUUGAAGGAAUUGGAGAUAGUGGACGAAGCUUGCACCCCAUUCAGGAAUCAUUAUCCCAAGCGCAUGGUUCACAGUGUGGAUUUUGCACUCCUGGAUUUGUCAUGUCUAUGUAUGCACUACUAAGAUCUUGUAAUGAGCCACCUUCUGAAGAGAAAAUUGAAGAAUGUCUGGCAGGAAAUUUAUGUCGCUGCACAGGUUAUAGGCCAAUUCUUGAUGCUUUUCGUGUCUUUGCAAAAACUGAUGAUCUAAUAUAUACCAAGACAAUGUCAGAAAAUAACUUGUCUGGUGAUUUUAUUUGCCCUUCAACUGGAAAACCAUGCGACUGUGGAAAAGGAACAACUAAUAGUACUGAAACCUCAACGCGUGGCAAGCAGUACAACCCCUUUUUAUACAACAAAAUUGAUGGAAGUUUGUACAGUGAAAGGGAACUCAUUUUCCCGCCAGAACUUCUCUUAAAGAAAGUUAUGUCACUUAGUUUACAUGGAUUUGAAGGAAUUAAGUGGUACAGACCUCUUAGACUCCAGCAAGUAUUAGACUUGAAAUCUUUGUAUCGAGAUGCCAAGCUUGUGAUUGGUAAUACUGAAGUAGGAAUUGAAACAAAGUUUAAGAAUCUUCAAUACAAAGUUUUGAUCUCUGUCACACAUGUGCCAGAGCUUAAUAUAUUAAGCUUGAAUGAGAAAGGACUUGAAAUUGGUGCCUCUGUACGACUCAUUGAACUUCAGAAAUUUCUUAGGAAGGUAAUAACAGAUUAUCCUGAUGAUAAAACUUCUUCAUGCAAAGCAAUCCUGGAGCAGCUGAAAUGGUUUGCUGGAAAUCAGAUAAAAAAUGUUGCUUCUGUAGGUGGAAAUAUUUGUACUGCUAGCCCAAUCUCAGACUUGAAUCCACUUUGGAUGGCUGCAGGAGCAAUUUUCCAAGUUAUAAGCUGUAAAGGAAAUGUUAGAACAAUUCCUGCCAAAGAUUUUUUUCUUUCUUAUCGAAAAGUUAAUCUUACAUAUGAUGAAAUACUACUCUCCAUCUUCCUACCCUGGACUAGACAUUUCGAAUUUGUUAAGGAAUUUAAGCAAGCACAUCGGAGAGAAGAUGACAUUGCACUUGUUAAUGCUGGAAUGCGUGUUUUUCUUAAACAUGACCAUGGAACAUUAGAAGUUCUUGAUGCCUCUAUUGUUUAUGGAGGCAUAGCUCCUGUUUCCUUGACUGCAACUAUGACUGAGAACUAUCUUAUUGGAAAGAAAUGGGAUGAUAUUUUAUUGCAGGGUGCUCUAAAGAUAUUGCAAGAGGACAUUGUUCUUACAGAAAAUGCACCAGGAGGAAUGGUGGAAUUCCGCAAAUCCCUAAGUUCAAGUUUUUUCUUUAAGUUUUUUUCAUUUGUUACAAAUGAAUUGAAUCAUAAAGGAUUUUUAAUUGAAGGCUUGAAUGCAACUGGUCUGUCAGCCAUACAACCAAAUUAUAGGCCACUAACUAGAGGAAUUCAGUGUUAUGAACUGACCAGACAUGGGACAUCUGUAGGACUCCCUGCUAUGCAUCUAUCGUCAAAGCUACAGGUAACGGGCGAGGCAGAAUAUGCUGAUGACGUGCCAACUCCUCCAAAUACUUUGCAUGCAGCUUUAAUUUUGAGUAGAAAGCCUCAUGCACGGAUAUUAUCUAUUGAUGAUUCUUUAGCCAAGUCUUCACCUGGAUUUAUUGGUCUUUUUGGGCAUAGAGAUGUCCCUGGGAGCAAUAAAAUUGGCCCUAUUAUUCAUGAUGAGGAACUUUUCGCAUCAGAAAUUGUUACUUGUGUUGGGCAGGUUAUUGGUAUUGUUGUGGCUGAUACACAUGAUAAUGCAAAGAUUGCAUCAAACAAAAUUGUUGUUGAAUAUGAAGAGUUGCCUGCAAUCUUAUCCAUAAGAGAAGCUGUGAAAUCUUGCAAUUUCUUUCCAAAUACUGGAAGAUGUCUGACAAAAGGGGAUGUAGAAUUGUGUUUCAAAUCAGGUGCAUGUGACAAAGUCAUAGAUGGGGAGGUUCAGGUUGGAGGCCAAGAACACUUUUACUUGGAACCAAAUAGCAGUUUGGUUUGGACAGUUGAUGGUGGAAAUGAAAUACAUAUGGUUUCCUCUACACAAGCCCCUCAAAAGACCCAAGACUAUGUUGCUCGUGUACUUGGUCUUCCACUUGCAAAAGUAGUUUGCAAGACAAAGCGCAUUGGUGGUGGCUUUGGAGGAAAAGAAACAAGAUCUGCUUUCAUUACAGCUGCAGCUUCUGUGCCAUCUUAUGUCUUGAGGAGACCUAUAAAAAUUACAUUAGACAGGGAUGUGGACAUGAUGAUAACUGGACAGCGCCAUAGUUUCCUUGGAAAAUACAAGGUUGGGUUUACAAAUGCUGGGGAGGUUUUGGCAAUAGAUCUCCAACUUUACAACAAUGCUGGGAACUCAUUAGACUUGUCUGCUGCAGUCCUUGAGCGUGCUAUGUUUCAUUCUGACAAUGUUUACAAUAUUCCAAAUAUGAGAAUUACAGGGGAUGUUUGUUAUACCAAUUUUCCAAGUAAUACAGCCUUCAGGGGAUUUGGAGGUCCUCAGGGAAUGCUUAUUGCAGAAAACUGGAUUCAACGGAUUGCUAUGGAGCUUCAAAAAAGUCCUGAAGAGAUAAGGGAGCUUAAUUUUCAAAAUGAUGGCUGUAUGCUGCAUUAUGGUCAAGUUCUUCAAUCAUCUACUGUGAGCCAGCUGUGGGAUCAAUUAAAGCAAUCAUGCUCUUUUGUAAGGACUCGGGAAAAUGUCAAUAUGUUUAAUCUCCACAACCGGUGGCGUAAGCGUGGAGUUGCGAUGGUUCCUACGAAGUUUGGUAUAUCAUUCACUACCAAAUUCAUGAACCAGGCUGGUGCACUAGUCCAAGUCUAUACUGAUGGGACAGUUCUUGUGACACAUGGAGGUGUUGAGAUGGGACAGGGCCUACAUACAAAAGUUGCACAGAUAGCUGCAUCAUCCUUCAAUAUUCCUCUUAGUUCUGUUUUUAUAUCGGAAACAAGUACUGAUAAGGUUCCUAAUGCAUCACCAACAGCAGCUUCUGCCAGCUCAGACAUGUACGGUGCUGCUGUUUUUGACGCUUGUGAUCAAAUAAAGUCACGAAUGCAACAUAUUGCUGCUAGGAAUCCACAUUCUUCUUUUGCUGAGUUAGCAAAAGCAUGCUAUUUGGAAAGGAUAGACCUCUCUGCUCAUGGCUUUUACAUUACACCUGACAUUGGUUUUGACUGGAAAGAUGGAAAGGGUUCACCAUUCAGUUAUUUCACCUUUGGAGCUGCAUUUGCAGAAGUUGAGAUAGACACUCUCACUGGAGAUUUUUACACAAGGGAAGCUGACAUUAUCAUGGACCUUGGUCAUUCCCUUAAUCCAGCAAUUGAUGUUGGACAGAUUGAGGGUGCUUUCGUUCAAGGUUUGGGUUGGAUAGCACUUGAGGAGUUAAAAUGGGGAGAUUCAGAUCACAAGUGGAUUAGGCCAGGCCACUUGUACACUUCUGGGCCUGGAACUUAUAAAAUUCCUACUGCAAAUGAUAUUCCUCUAAAACUGAAGGUUUCACUUUUGAAGGGUAUGCUGUGCUGAUCUUCUAAUGUGCCAAGAUGGCACCGGAACUGAGAUUUUAGAUGCUGUUUAGAGUCCUAUAUAUGUUAUCUCGAAAUCAUGAGCCUUGUCUAUCUUUCAUUUUUGUUGAAGCAUCCAUUGUGCAAGGAAGGAUACCAAUGGAAUAAGAGCAUGACAUAGUACCGACAGGAAACACAAAAGGGGAACCGAUUGUGAAGGCCGUGCCGAUAUUUCUUUUCAAAAUGGGCGUUCAGAAUACCAAAGCAAUUCACUCUUCAAAGGCUGUUGGGGAGCCACCAUUUUUCCUUGCCUCUGCAGUGCUGUUUGCUAUCAAAGAUGCGAUCAUCGCUGCCCGAGCUGAAGAAGGCUAUCACGACUGGUUUCCAC